This 492-nucleotide ribosomal RNA is filed under the name uncultured bacterium. RNAcentral describes it as "partial 16S ribosomal RNA". It matches the Rfam family "Bacterial small subunit ribosomal RNA", at positions 29 to 507 of the family's 1533-position model. The record is from RNAcentral.
AGUGAACGCUGGCGGUAGGCCUAACACAUGCAAGUCGAACGGCAGCACAGUAAGAGCUUGCUCUUACGGGUGGCGAGUGGCGGACGGGUGAGGAAUACAUCGGAAUCUACUUUUUCGUGGGGGAUAACGUAGGGAAACUUACGCUAAUACCGCAUACGACCUACGGGUGAAAGCAGGGGAUCUUCGGACCUUGCUCGAUUGAAUGAGCCGAUGUCGGAUUAGCUAGUUGGCGGGGUAAAGGCCCACCAAGGCGACGAUCCGUAGCUGGUCUGAGAGGAUGAUCAGCCACAAUGGAACUGAGACACGGUCCAGACUCCUACGGGAGGCAGCAGUGGGGAAUAUUGGACAAUGGGCGCAAGACUGAUCCAGACAUACCGCGUGGGUGAAGAAGGCCUUCGGGUUGUAAAGCCCUUUUGUUGGGAAAGAAAAGCAGCAGGUUAAUACCCCGCUGUUCUGACGGUACCCAAAGAAUAAGCACCGGCUAACUUCGUG